CACUCAGCAUUGGCAAUGUCUGUAGUCAGCAGGCCCCAUCCUGAAGACCAGAGCGAUGGCUGCAUGGUGAUGCCUGGAUCCAGCCCUUCUUGUUCAGAAGAGAACACCAAGGGUCAGAGGGGCAGGACUGUACUUGGGUCACACUGGAAGAUGAUGACUAAGUGCACCUGCACUCCUCCAGGAGUCUUGGAUGCACCUGCCAUUCAAGGGCAAGCUCUGUUGGGACUCAGUUCCAGUUCCGGUUCCACCUCCUCCUCCUAACCACGUGACCUCGGCAUGUCACUUGACCUGUUGAAGCCCGGCUUUCUCAAAUGUCAACUGAGGAUGAUCAAACUGCCCCAGCCUCCAGGAACGGUUGUGAGGAUUAGGCAAAGCACUUCCUCUACCGGCCCAGUGGAGCCACAGACAAUCCAGUGCCUUCAGUGUAAGAAACUCUGGCAAAGACUCGCUCAAAGUCAACACACUUUCUGUUGACCACUUCCUUUAACC
Molecule: long non-coding RNA, 489 nt
Organism: Fukomys damarensis (Damara mole-rat)
Lineage: Eukaryota; Metazoa; Chordata; Mammalia; Rodentia; Bathyergidae
Exons: 3
Source: RefSeq, a predicted model, not a curated record